CCUUGAAAUACCACCCUUUAAUGUUUGAUGUUCUAACGUUGGCCCCUGAUCGGGGUUGCGGACAGUGUCUGGUGGGUAGUUUGACUGGGGCGGUCUCCUCCUAAAGAGUAACGGAGGAGCACGAAGGUUGGCUAAUCCUGGUCGGACAUCAGGAGGUUAGUGCAAUGGCAUAAGCCAGCUUGACUGCGAGCGUGACGGCGCGAGCAGGUGCGAAAGCAGGUCAUAGUGAUCCGGUGGUUCUGAAUGGAAGGGCCAUCGCUCAACGGAUAAAAGGUACUCCGGGGAUAACAGGCUGAUACCGCCCAAGAGUUCAUAUCGACGGCGGUGUUUGGCACCUCGAUGUCGGCUCAUCACAUCCUGGGGCUGAAGUAGGUCCCAAGGGUAUGGCUGUUCGCCAUUUAAAGUGGUACGCGAGCUGGGUUUAGAACGUCGUGAGACAGUUCGGUCCCUAUCUGCCGUGGGCGCUGGAGAACUGAGGGGGGCUGCUCCUAGUACGAGAGGACCGGAGUGGACGCAUCACUGGUGUUCGGGUUGUCAUGCCAAUGGCACUGCCCGGUAGCUAAAUGCGGAAGAGAUAAGUGCUGAAAGCAUCUAAGCACGAAACUUGCCCCGAGAUGAGUUCUCCCUGACUCCUUGAGAGUCCUGAAGGAACGUUGAAGACGACGACGUUGAUAGGCCGGGUGUGUAAGCGCAGCGAUGCGU
This 702-nucleotide ribosomal RNA is filed under the name Escherichia coli. RNAcentral describes it as "partial 23S ribosomal RNA". It matches the Rfam family "Bacterial large subunit ribosomal RNA", at positions 2190 to 2886 of the family's 2925-position model. Lineage: Bacteria; Pseudomonadati; Pseudomonadota; Gammaproteobacteria; Enterobacterales; Enterobacteriaceae. The record is from RNAcentral.